This 270-nucleotide ribosomal RNA is filed under the name uncultured archaeon. RNAcentral's name for it is "partial 16S ribosomal RNA". It matches the Rfam family "Archaeal small subunit ribosomal RNA", at positions 477 to 747 of the family's 1478-position model. The record is from RNAcentral.
CAGCACCUCAAGUGGUCAGGAUGAUUGUUGGGCCUAAAGCAUCCGUAGCCGGCUCUGUAAGUUUUCGGUUAAAUCUGUACGCUCAACGUACAGGCUGCCGGGAAUACUGCAGAGCUAGGGAGUGGGAGAGGUAGACGGUACUCGGUAGGAAGGGGUAAAAUCCUUUGAUCUAUUGAUGACCACCUGUGGCGAAGGCGGUCUACCAGAACACGUCCGACGGUGAGGGAUGAAAGCUGGGGGAGCAAACCGGAUUAGAUACCCGAGUAGUCC